This 301-nucleotide ribosomal RNA is filed under the name uncultured bacterium. RNAcentral describes it as "partial 16S ribosomal RNA". It matches the Rfam family "Bacterial small subunit ribosomal RNA", at positions 509 to 809 of the family's 1533-position model. The record is from RNAcentral.
CAGCAGCCACGGUAAUACGGAGGGGGCUAGCGUUGUUCGGAAUUACUGGGCGUAAAGCGUGCGUAGGUGGUGGUUUAAGUCCGUUGUGAAAGCCCUGGGCUCAACCUGGGAAUUGCAGUGGAUACUGGGUCACUAGAGUGUGGUAGAGGAUAGUGGAAUUUCCGGUGUAGCAGUGAAAUGCGUAGAGAUCGGAAGGAACAUCUGUGGCGAAGGCGACUAUCUGGGCCAACACUGACACUGAGGCACGAAAGCGUGGGGAGCAAACAGGAUUAGAUACCCGUGUAGUCCCUGUCUCUUAUAA